Molecule: ribosomal RNA, 720 nt
Filed under: uncultured fungus
Lineage: Eukaryota; Fungi
Description: SSU rRNA
Rfam family: Eukaryotic small subunit ribosomal RNA
Source: RNAcentral
AGGCCUACCAUGGUGGUAACGGGUAACGGGGUGUUAGGGCACGACACCGGAGAGGGAGCCUGAGAAACGGCUACCACAUCCAAGGAUGGCAGCAGGCGCGCAAAUUACCCAAUCCCGACACGGGGAGGUAGUGACAAUAAAUAACAAUACGGGGUUCUUUAGGAUCUCGUAAUUGGAAUGAGUACAAUUUAAAUCUCUUAACGAGGAACAAUUGGAGGGCAAGUCUGGUGCCAGCAGCCGCGGUAAUUCCAGCUCCAAUAGCGUAUAUUAAAGUUGUUGCAGUUAAAAAGCUCGUAGUUGAAUUUCGGGGUUAGUAGGUUGGUCAUGCCUCUGGUAUGUACUGGUCUCACUGAUUCCUCCUUCCUUAUGAACCGUAAUGCCAUUAAUUUGGUGUUGCGGGGAAUUUGGACUGUUACUUUGAAAAAAUUAGAGUGUUUAAAGCAAGCUAACGCUUGAAUACAUUAGCAUGGAAUAAUGAAAUAGGACGUUCGAUCUUAUUUUGUUGGUUUCUAGGAUUGACGUAAUGAUUAAUAGGGAUAGUUGGGGGCAUUAGUAUUCAAUUGUCAGAGGUGAAAUUCUUGGAUUUAUUGAAGACUAACUACUGCGAAAGCAUUUGCCAAGGAUGUUUUCAUUAAUCAAGAACGAAAGUUAGGGGAUCGAAGACGAUCAGAUACCGUCGUAGUCUUAACCAUAAACUAUGCCGACUAGGGAUCGGAUGAU